This 225-nucleotide ribosomal RNA is filed under the name uncultured Prosthecobacter sp. RNAcentral's name for it is "partial 16S ribosomal RNA". It matches the Rfam family "Bacterial small subunit ribosomal RNA", at positions 568 to 792 of the family's 1533-position model. Lineage: Bacteria; Pseudomonadati; Verrucomicrobiota; Verrucomicrobiia; Verrucomicrobiales; Verrucomicrobiaceae. The record is from RNAcentral.
CACGCAGGCGGUCUGUUAAGUCAGAUGUGAAAUCCCCGGGCUUAACCUCGGAACUGCAUCCGAUACUACCAUGCUAGAGUACUGAAGAGGAAACUAGAAUUCUCGGUGUAGCAGUGAAAUGCGUAGAUAUCGAGAGGAAUACCAAAGGCGAAGGCAGGUUUCUUGGCAGUUACUGACACUGAGGCACGAAGGCCAGGGGAGCGAACGGGAUUAGAUACCCUCGUA